ACAAGCGGUGGAGUAUGUGGUUUAAUUCGAUGCAACGCGAAGAACCUUACCUGGUCUUGACAUCCCGGAGACCCUUAGGAAACUAGGGGGUGCUUCCAUCUGGAAGGAAUCUGGAGACAGGUGCUGCAUGGCUGUCGUCAGCUCGUGUCGUGAGAUGUUGGGUUAAGUCCCGCAACGAGCGCAACCCUUGCCUUUAGUUGCCAGCAGUUCGGCUGGGCACUCUAAAGGGACUGCCGGUGUUAAACCGGAGGAAGGUGGGGAUGACGUCAAGUCCUCAUGGCCUUUAUGACCAGGGCUACACACGUACUACAAUGGCCGAUACAAAGGGCAGCGACACUGCGAGGUGAAGCCAAUCCCGUAAAAUCGGUCUCAGUCCGGAUUGGAGUCUGCAACUCGACUCCAUGAAGUUGGAAUCGCUAGUAAUCGUGGAUCAGCAUGCCACGGUGAAUACGUUCCCGGGCCUU
This 464-nucleotide ribosomal RNA is filed under the name uncultured Desulfobulbus sp. RNAcentral describes it as "bacterial SSU rRNA". It matches the Rfam family "Bacterial small subunit ribosomal RNA", at positions 925 to 1382 of the family's 1533-position model. Lineage: Bacteria; Pseudomonadati; Thermodesulfobacteriota; Desulfobulbia; Desulfobulbales; Desulfobulbaceae. The record is from RNAcentral.